Molecule: ribosomal RNA, 468 nt
Filed under: uncultured bacterium
Lineage: Bacteria
Description: partial 16S ribosomal RNA
Rfam family: Bacterial small subunit ribosomal RNA
Source: RNAcentral
GACGAACGCUGGCGGCGUGCUUAACACAUGCAAGUCGAACGGAAAGGCCCUGCUUUUGUGGGGUGCUCGAGUGGCGAAAGGGUGAGUAACACGUGAGUAACCUGCCCUUGACUUUGGGAUAACUUCAGGAAACUGGGGCUAAUACCGGAUAGGAGCUCCUGCUGCAUGGUGGGGGUUGGAAAGUUUCGGCGGUUGGGGAUGGACUCGCGGCUUAUCAGCUUGUUGGUGGGGUAGUGGCUUACCAAGGCUUUGACGGGUAGCCGGCCUGGGAGGGUGACCAGCCACAAUGGGACUGAGAUACGGCCCAGACGCCUACGGGAGGCAGCGGUGGGGAAUAUUGCACAAUGGGCGGAAGCCUGAUGCAGCAACGCCGCGUGCGGGAUGACGGCCUUCGGGUUGUAAACCGCUUUCGCCUGUGACGAAGCGUGAGUGACGGUAAUGGGUAAAGAAGCACCGGCUAACUACGUG